UACGGAGGACGCGAGCGUUAUCCGGAUUUAUUGGGUUUAAAGGGUGCGUAGGCGGGAUGCCAAGUCAGCGGUAAAAAUGCGGUGCUCAACGCCGUCGAGCCGUUGAAACUGGCGUUCUUGAGUGGGCGAGAAGUAUGCGGAAUGCGUGGUGUAGCGGUGAAAUGCAUAGAUAUCACGCAGAACUCCGAUUGCGAAGGCAGCAUACCGGCGCCCUACUGACGCUGAGGCACGAAAGCGUGGGUAUCGAACAGG
This 252-nucleotide ribosomal RNA is filed under the name uncultured bacterium. Its description in RNAcentral is "partial 16S ribosomal RNA". It matches the Rfam family "Bacterial small subunit ribosomal RNA", at positions 524 to 776 of the family's 1533-position model. The record is from RNAcentral.